AGCGAACGCUGGCGGCAGGCUUAACACAUGCAAGUCGAGCGGGCACUUUCGGGUGUCCGCGGCGGACGGGUGAGUAACGCGUGGGAACGUGCCCUCUGGUUCGGAAUAACUCAGGGAAACUUGAGUUAAUACCGGAUACGCCCUUUUGGGGAAAGGCUUGCUGCCGGAGGAUCGGCCCGCGUCUGAUUAGCUAGUUGGUGAGGUAACGGCUCACCAAGGCGACGAUCAGUAGCUGGUCUGAGAGGAUGAUCAGCCACACUGGGACUGAGACACGGCCCAGACACCUACGGGAGGCAGCAGUGGGGAAUAUUGGACAAUGGGCGCAAGCCUGAUCCAGCCAUGCCGCGUGAGUGAUGAAGGCCUUAGGGUUGUAAAGCUCUUUUAUCCGGGACGAUAAUGACGGUACCGGAGGAAUAAGCCCCGGCUAACUUCGUG
RNAcentral lists this ribosomal RNA (435 nucleotides) under uncultured bacterium. RNAcentral describes it as "partial 16S ribosomal RNA". It matches the Rfam family "Bacterial small subunit ribosomal RNA", at positions 29 to 507 of the family's 1533-position model. The record is from RNAcentral.